GCCUGUGGUCUGUGCAGGAACACUCAGAACCAGACAUCACCCACAGGCUCAGCUGGAAGUGGCUGAUCAGGAAAGGUCUGGACACACCUCGGAUUGGCCAUGGCAUCGCCUCUGCACAGGAAAACAUCUGUAUCAGCAGAACCAACAGAACUGGACGAAAUCCUAAUUUACCAUGGUCUGUAAAAGAGGCUGAAGUGCCUAUUUCCAGUGAGGCGAAUUUGAAAUUGAAAGAGGAAAACGAGUGCAUUGAAGAGAUCAGAAGCUCCUUUCCAAGCCUGUAUCUGGUGCAGAUGGUGCAAACAAAGUGCCAAGUGAUCUGCCCCCACUUUUCUGCACAGCAAGCAAGAAGACAUCACUGCAUCUAACAGGUGGAAGUGGGCACCUUCACCAGCAGGCACCAGCCCCAAUUCAUUCACCCUGCACCAGAGGCAUCUCAGCAAGCCAAGCAGCUCUACCCUGCUUCACCCGUGGAAAGAACACAGCACCAGAGCAAGGCCAGGGUGCUGAGCAGGCCGGGGGAAGAUCCCAAGGGACAGCCUGCAAAAUACCAUAUGGAUGCUGGGAUCAUUUUAUUGCAAAAGGUCACCUGCUGCCUUCUGGAUGAAGUGUAAAAAGAGCCAGUGGAGAUGGCUGGCAAUGCCUGUAGAAGAGAAUCCAUCCCUGAAAUGCAGCUCAGGUCAAACCACUGCCACCAUGAUCUCAAGUCUCCAGCUCUUCACAGUGAUCAGGGGUGGGCAGAACCAGAGGUGGACCAGAGCCUCAGCACCCACCUGUGCAAAGGAGAGCACUCCCAGGGCAGUGUCUGCAGGGCUCCAAGGCACAGACAGUCGAGAUG
Long non-coding RNA from Passer montanus (Eurasian tree sparrow), 835 nucleotides. RefSeq lists it as uncharacterized. NCBI's taxonomy places the organism in Eukaryota, Metazoa, Chordata, Aves, Passeriformes, Passeridae. The record is from RefSeq and is a predicted model, not a curated record. The transcript is spliced from 3 exons.